AUAUUGGUCAAUGGGCGCUAGCCUGAACCAGCCAAGUAGCGUGAAGGAUGACUGCCCUAUGGGUUGUAAACUUCUUUUGUGCGGGAGCAAUAAGGUCCACGUGUGGGCCGACGAGAGUACCGUACGAAUAAGCAUCGGCUAACUCCGUGCCAGCAGCCGCGGUAAUACGGGGGAUGCAAGCGUUAUCCGGAUUUAUUGGGUUUAAAGGGUGCGUAGGCGGGAUGCCAAGUCAGCGGUCAAAUACGGGGGCUCAACCUGCGUCCGCCGUUGAAACUGGCGUUCUUGAGUGGGCGAGAAGUACGCGGAAUGCGUGGUGUAGCGGUGAAAUGCAUAGAUAUCACGCAGAACCCCGAUUGCGAAGGCAGCGUACCGGCGCCCUACUGACGCUGAAGCACGAAAGCGUGGGUAUCGAACAA
This 416-nucleotide ribosomal RNA is filed under the name uncultured bacterium. RNAcentral's name for it is "bacterial SSU rRNA". It matches the Rfam family "Bacterial small subunit ribosomal RNA", at positions 361 to 775 of the family's 1533-position model. The record is from RNAcentral.